RNAcentral lists this ribosomal RNA (256 nucleotides) under uncultured bacterium. RNAcentral's name for it is "partial 16S ribosomal RNA". It matches the Rfam family "Bacterial small subunit ribosomal RNA", at positions 524 to 776 of the family's 1533-position model. The record is from RNAcentral.
GACGUAGGGCGCGAGCGUUUGUCCGGAUUUAUUGGGCGUAAAGAGCUCGUAGGCGGCUUGUCGCGUCGUCCGUGAAAACCUGCAGCUCAACUGCAGGCUUGCGGUCGAUACGGGCAGGCUAGAGUUCGGUAGGGGAGACUGGAAUUCCUGGUGUGAGCGGUGAAAUGACGCAGAUAUCAGGAGGAACACCGGUGGCGAAGGCGGGUCUCUGGGCCGAUACUGACGCUGAGGAGCGAAAGCGUGGGGAGCGAACAGG